ACUGAAAAUUAUCGGCUUAAUACGUUUCACGCGUUAACACUACGAAUAUUACGUGUUAGCACGGAGAUUCCGUUAUGAGCCCAAAGGCCGUCGACUGUGCGGCGUCAGCUGGACUCACCAGUGACUCGCCGGACAGGGACCGAGUUCACCUGUGGGAAGUGGCAGGUGAUUCCAGCGUCUCUGCUGUGGGGAGUAGGAGCGGUUGACGCCAGCGCUUCGACAAAUUCACACUCAAGAAGAGGUUCCAAAGGAGAUGAAGCGGAUUGAGAAACUUGCCAAGCCUUCACAGGAGAGAUCUGUAGGAGCCUUUCAUGUUUCAGCAUUAAAGCUCUUUGCUGUUGGAGGCCCCUUUUUAGGAUCAAUAACUGUGGUGGAAAUGCUGGUGGCGUAGUAAUGCAGUGGAAAGAGUAUAUAUCGCCCUAUUCAUAGCACACCUGUUAUAAUUUGAUUAUUUUCUCAUAUACAGUGUCUUAAUAUUGUGUCAUUGGUGUAUUGUGUUAGUUCAAGGGAGCAAUAGCCAAUCACAUAGAGUAGUAAUGUCUUUGAACAAAGCCUGUACUUCUCAAACAAGAUAAUUAUUAGGAGUUGAAUGUAGAUCGUGUUUGAAUGCUAAUGAUGUGUCUGGCUAGGAUUUCUAUUCUGAGUACACCUGACACUGUUAUUUUUAAGGGCUGUAUAAAACAAAUUGCACAAAUUGA
Pygocentrus nattereri (red-bellied piranha) is the source of this 698-nucleotide long non-coding RNA. RefSeq lists it as uncharacterized. Lineage: Eukaryota; Metazoa; Chordata; Actinopteri; Characiformes; Serrasalmidae. The transcript is spliced from 3 exons. The record is from RefSeq and is a predicted model, not a curated record.